CCUACGGGUGGCUGCAGUGGGGAAUAUUGGACAAUGGGGGCAACCCUGAUCCAGCCAUGCCGCGUGUGUGAAGAAGGCCCUCGGGUUGUAAAGCACUUUCAGUGAGGAAGAACGCCUGGUGGUUAAUACCCAUCAGGAAAGACAUCACUCACAGAAGAAGCACCGGCUAACUCCGUGCCAGCAGCCGCGGUAAUACGGAGGGUGCGAGCGUUAAUCGGAAUUACUGGGCGUAAAGCGCGCGUAGGUGGCUUGAUAAGCCGGUUGUGAAAGCCCCGGGCUCAACCUGGGAACGGCAUCCGGAGCUGUCAAGCUAGAGUGCAGGAGAGGAAGGUAGUAUUCCCGGUGUAGCGGUGAAAUGCGUAGAGAUCGGGAGGAAUACCAGUGGCGAAGGCGGCCUUCUGGACUGACACUGACACUGAGGUGCGAAAGCGUGGGUAGCAAACAGGAUUAGAUACCCCAGUAGUC
RNAcentral lists this ribosomal RNA (465 nucleotides) under Vreelandella stevensii. Its description in RNAcentral is "partial 16S ribosomal RNA". It matches the Rfam family "Bacterial small subunit ribosomal RNA", at positions 338 to 795 of the family's 1533-position model. The record is from RNAcentral. Lineage: Bacteria; Pseudomonadati; Pseudomonadota; Gammaproteobacteria; Oceanospirillales; Halomonadaceae.